AGGCGAGUAGCUCAACUUGGCAGAGCGGCGGUCUCCAAAACCGCAGGUUGCGGGUUCAAGUCCUGCCUCGCCUG
Molecule: transfer RNA, 74 nt
Filed under: Clostridia bacterium
Lineage: Bacteria; Bacillati; Bacillota; Clostridia
Description: tRNA-Trp
Rfam family: tRNA
About the family: Transfer RNA (tRNA) molecules are approximately 80 nucleotides in length.
Source: RNAcentral